UACGAAGGGGGCUAGCGUUGGUCGGAUUUACUGGGCGUAAAGCGCGUGUAGGCGGAUCGUUAAGUCGGGGGUGAAAGCCCAGAGCUCAACUCUGGAAUUGCCUUCGAUACUGGCGGUCUGGAGCAGAGAAGAGGCGAGUGGAAUUCCGAGUGUAGAGGUGAAAUUCGUAGAUAUUCGAAGGAACACCAGUGGCGAAGGCGCCUCGCUGGUCUCUUGCUGCCGCUGAGACGCGAAAGCGUGGGGAGCAAACAGG
RNAcentral lists this ribosomal RNA (253 nucleotides) under uncultured bacterium. RNAcentral's name for it is "partial 16S ribosomal RNA". It matches the Rfam family "Bacterial small subunit ribosomal RNA", at positions 524 to 776 of the family's 1533-position model. The record is from RNAcentral.